UUUAAAUAGUUUAAAAAAAAAUGUUGGUUUGUGGGGCCAGAGAUAUAGGUUUGUUAUUUUAAAUCA
RNAcentral lists this transfer RNA (66 nucleotides) under Geocharax gracilis. RNAcentral describes it as "tRNA-His". Lineage: Eukaryota; Metazoa; Arthropoda; Malacostraca; Decapoda; Parastacidae. The record is from RNAcentral.